AGCCUGGCAACAGAGUGAGACUCUGUCUCAGGAAAAAAAUAAAAAUUAAGAAGGUAGAUCCCAUUGUUACAAUAAGAACAAAAAUGAGGCACAUGGAAACUUUUGGAGGCGAUGGAUAUGUCUGUUACCUUGGUUGUGGUGAUUGUUUCAUAAGUGUUUCUAUAUGUCCAUCUUCAGCAAGUUUGGUGUGCCGUUUCUGUGCAUCAAUUAUACUUCAAUAAAGCAGUUUUUUUAAAAAAAAAAAAAGGAUGAAAGAAGGGAAGAGGGGAGGGAAGGUGGUUACUGUUAGUUCCCAGGGAGAAUACGAGAGAAAGUUAGGGUAGAAAAAGUGUAAACUGAACCACUAGAAUAAGUUUCUGUAAGGUAGAGACAAAAGAAGAACCAUCUUGUGUGAGGCAGGGGACACAGAGACUCAGAUAUCUUUGUGUCUAAAGACAGACAGAGGUGUGAAUCACCUCCUUAAUUUGAAGGGGCACCUAAGUUGAUGAUUAACUUAGCUCUCUUUAUGCUAUUCUGGUAGAUCUUCCCAGCCUCCUUUCUCGGAAAGAGACCUCCAGUGAGAAUGGGGUAAGCAAGCCCUUUAGUGAGAAUUAGAAAGAAAGAGGAAGUGUGGUGAGUUUACUUUUUGGAAUAAAAGCACAAAGCAGAAAACCAAUGGGACACCCAGUUACUUUGUCAACAGUAUGCCAAACACUAAUUUUGGAAGAUCCUGUUAAACUUGGUAUAGUCCCUGAGUAUUAUUUUUAUUCUCCAUUGUCUGUUUCCCAGUUGUGAUCAUAUAAUAGUAAAACUCACCUAAUGAAAGCACCUGCUUCCUUGUGUUUACAAGAAACAAGGCAAGGGUACAAAAAAAAAAAAAAAGAAUGAUUAAGACCUACUAUUUGAUAGCACAAUAGGGUGACUAUAGUCAAUAAUAACUUAAUUUUGCAUGUUAAAAUAACUUAAAAGUGUAAUUGGAUUGUUUAUAACUCAAAGGAUAAAUGUUGAGGGGACAGAUACCCCAUUCCCCAUAAUGUGCUUACUUCACAUUGCAUGCCUAUAUUAAAACAUCUCAUGUAACCCAUAAAUAUAUGCACCUACUAUGUACCCACAAAAAUCUUUAUUUAAAAAAAAAUUAAAAAAGUCAAGCCCAAGUAAACCAAAUGAUGGUAUGGCAGUUUUAGAGGAGAGAGGAAAACAAAUUUAGUCCUGCAAGCCCUGCUUAUGCUGUAAAAAAGAAAAAAAAAAAAAAAAGAAGAAGAAACAUACUAGGAGUUGGCUGAGUCUUAGACAUGUACUUGAGGCCUAAGAGAAGAGAUCUGUUCUGUGUGCACACAAUUGACCUUUGUCACCAAAAAGGAAAUAAUGUUUCAGUCAUUCAUGGAGGUAAAAGAGUGGACAAAUUGUGUUGAGGUGGACAAUUGCAUCAUAAAAAUGCAUUUAUUAUUCUUCAUUACCUAAUACACUGUAAGUUCUUCAAGGGCAGAGAUUGAGUCUCCACUUUUUUCUUCCUAUGGCCCACCUUGGUAGCUGACACAAAUUAAUUACUCAUAAAUGUUGAUACAAAAUAAAUGAGUGAUUUAAUUAAUUACUUAAAAUCCUUUAUAAGUCUCAGGCUUACAGUUUUAGAAAAAUAACAAACACAGAAUUCUUAUUAGGCACUAGAAAAAUAUGUGUCAUGGAGGAAUUGAUAUUUGAUCUGAGUCUUGAUCAACAUAAUGUGGAAAACGGGGAAAGAGAUCUUUGAGGCAGAGAUAUUAGAAUUUGCAUGAUGAAGAGUCAUUUGGGGUGGCUUACAUGUAUGGGAGGAGACAUAAGACACAAGGUAUGUUAAGGCCCGACUAUGAAUAAUCUUAAGUGUGAUGUGAGAAAAUUUGGAUUUUAAUCAAUGGAUCAUGGGAAACCAUAGAAUGUUUAUAAGAAUGCAAGUGUGACUUGUGAUCUGAUUUGUCUUCUGGAAGGUUAGGUCUGGUACUAGUUUGUAUGAAGGACCAAAUGGGGACUAGAAAAGAAUCAAGUUAUGAAGCUAUUGCAAUGGUUCAGGAAAGCAAUAAAAUAAAAUAUGGACAAAGAUAAAUAAGGCACAAAUGUAUAAUAUAUUUAAACAUGUAAUUCCAAAGACUUCUGAUGGAUAUGAGUUGGAGGAUAUAAGAGAGAGAAGACUCAUGGAUGAAUCCAAGGUUUCUAGCUAGGGAAGUUGUAAAGCUCUCUUUAUUAAUAAAAUCAAAAAGAGAUGGAAGAUUCGGCAGGAAAGGCCAGAUAUCAGUAUGGGACUUUCUGAGUUUGAAGUGCCUGCAGAUAUUUUUAUGAAGAUGUUCAUAAAACAUCUAGGAAAUUAGAUAUUGAUAUCUGCAACUCUGGGAAAGACUUGUGAUUUGAGGCAUGGAUUUCAGAUUUAUCAACGAAGAAUUAGAAGAUGAGCCCAGGAUAAGUAGCUCAUCCUGUAAAAGUAGGUAGAACUGGAGGGGGAAAAGGCUGAAAUUGAAAUCCAGAAAAGUCGACAUUCAAGUAGCAAGAGUUGAGGAGGAAACAGAGAAUAUUCAGGUAGUCAGGAAGAGAGACAGGAGAGAGCUUCUCAUAGAACUCAAAGGAAGUCAAAUUUCAAUGAAUGAUUGAACCAGAUAACAAAUAAGAUGACUGAAAAAAAUUACCACUUGACUGGAUAAUUUGGAAAAAUCUGAUGACCUUAUUGCAGCAUAUUGAAUUGGGAAACCAGAGUACAAAAGCUGGAAGAAAAAAAAAACUGUAAAGGGAAAAUGGUACAUCACUGGCAGUUAGCAGUGAAGGAAAGAGCACGAUAGAGCUUACGGCUUGAAAAAGUGCCAGAAUCAAGAAAAUGCUCUGUCUCUGGGAAGUUCUGCUUUCUGUUCCCUGAUCAGGGACCAGAGAGGGGCAAAAUCUUCCUUUGAUCCUAACUCCCUAUUUUUUAUUUUUCCUCUCUCUUGAUCCCCUUGUCUACUUUUCAGAUUUAGCCUCACCUUGUAAGUGCUUCCUUUCUGAGGUGUAGGUAAGAAAGAUUGAGAUUCCAUCCGCACGAGACAAACCCAGCAGUUCGGAGCAGUCAAGACAGGUUGGAGGAACAAAGGAAGGAGGUCAUGUUACCAGUUUCUAAGGCUUGGGGUCAUCUGGAAGAAGCUGGAAUCACAGUACAGGUGGAAUGGAAGUGCAAUGGAAGAAGUGGAACCACAGUGAAGGUGGGAACUGGAGGCAUGAAGAAAACACAGCAUGUUCCAGAAGGCCAGGGCGGUCGGUUCUGCUGCACAAAUGAGGUCAGAGCAAUCAAGAGAGCCAAGGAAGUCCUACUUAUCUGGAUUAAAUAACUCAAUCUACAAACUACUCAACUUUAAUAUAAGGUGGAAAAUAGGAUUUCAAAAGAAAAGAAGAAGGAGAAGAACAAGGACAAGAAACUGAGUUUUGGCAGAAGGCAAGUGAGCAAUUAAAAAUAAAUCUUUCAUGAUUUGCUCCCACAGGCAAAAAAUAUAAUAAUAUUUUUCAAUCCUGCUUAACCCAAAAUAAUCUGAGAUAUUUAAAGUAUUACAACCACUGGUGACAAACCAGGGAGUUUAUUAUGUUCUUUCACAAGCAGAGACGUCUCAGGAGUCGGGUAGUACAUAUGACAAGGAACCAAGUUACCCACAUAACAGUGUGCAGCUUUCUGUCACAUAUGAAAAGGCUGCUGUGUCUGCACCUCACAGCAGUUGGGAAUUCCAUUUUACACAAACUAGGCCAGAAAAUCUACUCUCCAUUCUGGCUGAGAAACCAGGAUAUUUUUUAAUCCUAGUAGGCAUUCAGACACAAAUGGAGUCAAAGCCAGAGAGAAAUUUGCACACCUUCCAAACCAAUACUUCACUACAAAUAGGGGUCAGUGUCUUAAGGCACACCAGUAGUUAAUAGCAGAAUCCCAUAUUAGAAAGCUCAACAUUUCAGAAACCCAACCAAUACUCCAAAAUAAAUGCAUCAUUUUAUUUGCAAAGUAGGGCAUCAUUACCUAAAGAUAACAGCAUCUGCAGAAAUACUUACUUAGCAACUAAAUCACAAGGUCUUCCUUAGAGCUUCCUUUAGGCUAGAAAUAGUCCCUGCUUAGCCAGCUGGCCUGAAAAACUAACGACAAACAUAAAAAUCAAAAGAAUUCCAGAGCUCAUCGUAGCCCUCAUCUGCUCAAAAGGGUGUCUGUAGCACUUUUUUGAGAUUGAGGGUUAUAAAGCUAGUGGUAGGGGGAAAUGCCUGGAUUUUCUUCCUUUGUGGAAUGUUUUUAUACCUGGAAAUAUCUACUGUUCUAGUUAAUCAAAUGUACAACUUUUUCUUCAACUGUUACUUAAACUUAAGGUUGAAACUAUUGCCAACAGUUGAAACAAGCCAAGGCAGAUUUUAGACACUGGACUGUGUCAGCACUGGCCAUAACUGCAGUGCAUCUAGGUCCAUGAGAACACUGAGUAAUGCUUGUUUCCAGGCAGCCAAAGAGAUCUUAAAGGAAGAUACUUUACUGUUCUGUUUCUAGAAACACAUUUUAGAAGCUCCCAUUGCUGCUAUCCUAAUUUUGUUGUGAUUUCCAAAUGUAUUUUAUUUGCAAAGAAAGCAAACACUUCCAUAUUAAUGAAAUGCUGAUUAUAAAGAAAAAUAAGCUUAUGUCAUAUUUUAUCCCUUUAAUUUACAAUGAAGUAUAUUUUAAAUUCACACAUGAGCAUGUGGAAAGAAAGAGAUAAUAAUUCCACAAUGAAUUAUCUGUAGAAAAUGUUAUUUCUAAUUUACUUUUGACCUAAACAUAAGGGCAGAAAGAUUCAUAGAUGACUAUUCUAACAGAGCUUGCUUGAAUCACUCAUAUCAUUUUAUUUUCAUUGAGCCCUAGUUAUCCAAAAGAUACUGUGGUAAGUGCUGAGGAAAUAGGAAGAACUAUGAGAUAAACUCCAGCUUUCUUGACAUCUGAUCUGAGUAAAGUUAAUAAACACACAAUUAAAAUGCAGUGCAGGUCAGUAUAUAAAAAGUAUCCUGCACACCAAGUGCAUAGUUCAAGGGACUUCCUAUCAGGAAUUAUGAGGGAAACUUCUGCCUCAAUCAGUAGUCUGCAAACUACAGCCCACAGGCCAAAUCUACCUGUCACCUGUUUUUAGAUGGCCCAUGAGCUGAGACUAGUUUUUAACAUUUUUAAAUUGUUAAACAAAACUGAUUGAACAAAACUAAACAGGAGAAUAGUAUAUCAUGACACAUGAAAAAUAUUUAAAACUGAAUGUUCAAUGUCAGCAAGUAAAGGGUUUGUUGUUGUUGUUUAUUUGUUUGUUUUAAGAGACAUGGUCUCUUUCUGUCACACAGGCUAGAAUACAGUGGUGUGGGCCUACUUCACUGCAGCCUGUAACUCCUGGGCUCAAGUAAUCCUCCCAUCUCAGCCUCUUGAGUAGCUGGGACUACAAGCACAUGCCCAGCUAAAUUUUUUAUUUUGUUGUAUGGACAGGAUCUGCCUAUGCUGACCAGGUUGGUACAAAUGAAGUUUUAUUGGAACACAGCUACACCCAUUCCUUUGUAUAUUAUCUAUGUCUGCUUUCAUGCUACAACAGAGUUGAAUGAUUACCACAAUUACUGUAUGGCUCAGAAAGCCUAGAAUAUUUGUUGUCUGGCCCUUCACAGGAAAAAAAAAAAAAAGUCAAUUCCUGGCCUAGAGGAUUGAGAGAAGCUUUAUGAUUGACCUGUAUUUUGAAGGAAAGAAGUUUGUACUGGCAAAGUCAUAAGUGAGGGGUGAUUUUGGGGGAAAGGAAUGUGCCAGCAUAGCACUGGAAAGACACCUGGCUUACUCAGAAGGUAGUGAACACAUCAGUGCCACUGGGGUGAAAAGCUUAUGAAGAAACUUAAGAUGAAUGAUGCAUACUGAAAAGACAGGUGGGGCUCAUCUUGAGGACAGUCUUGAAUGCUUGGCUUGAGGAUGGGGAGGAAAGAAGUACUUCCCAUGCCCCUACACCACUUCUAUUUUCCUGUGGAAAAUAAAGACCAAGUAAGCAUUUUUUUAAAAAAACUGAAGAGUGACCUAUUCAAAGGAAAUUUGAUAGAAAAACCUUCCAUCAACUAAUUUGGCAACAAUUGUGUAGAAUGGAAGGUUGGUAGGAAGAGAAUAAUAAAAAGAUAAAGGAUAUUAAAAACAAAGAUUUAGUUAGAAGACUCUUAAAUUGUUCUAUCAGUAAAAAAGCAAGACAAAGAGAGAACUGUGUGGCUGCCUUAUGGAUAUCUGUACACCCAAAGAUCUACAUAGAGAACACACUUAAUGUACAAUGGGCAAAUAAAGGCACAAAUGGAUAAAAGGGCAGUAGGAAAGAGGGAAGUGGAGAUGAGAAGGACCGCAGGAAAUGGGGAAAGGAAAACAUUGAUGGAUUUUGGCAACUGACUGAGUGAAGAAAACAAAAAAUAGACACAUUAGUAGAUUAAGGUAAGCAAGGAAACCAUGUUUAACAUUUAGCUUUACCCAUGCAGAAUUUUAGGCAACAAAAGGUCAUUCACAAGAAACUGUCUAGCAGCAAUUGGAAAUGUGAGACGCUAGCUCUGGAGCAAGAUCAGUCAAGAUAGGGAUGAGAAGCACCCAUCUAUUCUUCAGAGAUAAGUCUAACAAUCCCAACGUGCUUCUCAUGAAUAACUGGCAGGAACUUACUAUGCCUAGAUUUAUUUUAGGAUGGGUAUGCAACUUUCUAAACCUUCCAGAGUGAGUUAUAUAGACAGAAUUUCUCACUGUGCAGCAGUUUGCAUCGUAUAUUAAAGAUGAACUUAUUAACAUGACAUUCAUUGUCCUCAGAGAUUCCACAAUCACAUCACAAUUUGCACUAACAAAAAGAGGAAGGGAAGGAG
RNAcentral lists this long non-coding RNA (6801 nucleotides) under Homo sapiens (human). Its description in RNAcentral is "HSALNT0090778". Lineage: Eukaryota; Metazoa; Chordata; Mammalia; Primates; Hominidae. The record is from RNAcentral.